AGGGUCUUUUCAAAUAUAUUUCUUUCCCUCCUAAUCUCAGCCCUGCUUUGCACCCUGCCUAAAAAUCUGGGUUUUGAAGAUCUUCAAGUUGGGGAAACGGCAAGAAGGUUGCCUAUUUGUGGGCACCCUGCUUAAAAAUCUGGGUUUUGAAGGUCUCCAAGUUGGGGAAACAGCAAGAAGGUUGCCUAUUUGUGGGCACCCUGCCUGAACUUCUGUGAGCAUAAAAAUGUAGCCUUAUCCUAGAUGUGGCGAUUGCAUUACAGCCCCUAUGCAGUGAUGGUGAAACAAGGGCAUUUCCCCUUUCUCUCUGUAUUUGUCAUUAUCAACAUCUCUUUCUUUAGGGGUAGGAGCAGCUCCCCAAGCCUCCUUGGUAGAGAGUGAGAUGGAUGAUCUUAGAGGUGGAGUGAGAAUGUGGGAGAAAGAUGGAGUUUUCACAAAGUGGCAGAGUAAUAAUAAAGGGAGUGUAGCGAAAGAGUUUGAAAUAAUACUCCUGUUAGAAUUAUACACCUUGUUAUGUCUAAUAAUGUUUUUCUCUCGCCCAUAGAAAAAAAAGAAGUGAUUAAUUAUCCCAUUUUGUCUCAGUUGUUUAGUCAAUAACAUUAACUUUUGAAUAUAUAGCAUUCUCUUGAAUGCAAAUUGACUAUUUCUCUUAGAACCAUAUGCUACUUUUAUAGCUUUGUUUUCAAAAUAGAACUCUUCACAUGAGUUUUACCUUGCACUUGUUUCAUUUGUUCGCAUUUUUACUUACAUUAUUUCGUGAUGCUAUGGACUUGCUUGUGCUGGGGAUUUUCUUAGUGAAGACGUAUAAGAGGAUAUUGUUUGCUGAGGUGAGGAGCUAUGAUAAGGCCUUGAGCAUAAAUCACUAUCUGCUGCUCUUUGCUGCACUUGCUCAGUUUCCACUCUUCUUCUGGCUUGGAUACCUUGGUGCAUGACAUAACUGCACCCUCUUAUGUUUCUUUAUGUUGGGGACAAGUGACCGGGCUCCUAUUAUUUGGAUUGAGCUAAUCAAGCUACCAUGGACAUGUCAAUGCAGUUGGGGAUUAAGGACCGGGCUCCCCUUCUUGGGAGUGAGGCAGUCAAGCUACCCAAUUGGCCUCAAUUAUUCUGUGAAGUGCUUGUUACUGGGUUGAGGGAUUAUGUUUUCGAGAGGCUUAUAGAUAUGAAUGUCAUCUGUCUCAAGAUUUGUACUUAAAUAAAAAUUCAUUGAGGUUGAAUUCCAAUGAUUUAGGUCCACUUUGUGUCAUAAGAUCUACAUAAUGAGAAUUUGCUUUAUGUUUA
Long non-coding RNA from Amborella trichopoda, 1278 nucleotides. RefSeq lists it as uncharacterized. The record is from RefSeq and is a predicted model, not a curated record. Lineage: Eukaryota; Viridiplantae; Streptophyta; Magnoliopsida; Amborellales; Amborellaceae.